This 428-nucleotide ribosomal RNA is filed under the name uncultured archaeon. RNAcentral's name for it is "bacterial SSU rRNA". It matches the Rfam family "Archaeal small subunit ribosomal RNA", at positions 474 to 903 of the family's 1478-position model. The record is from RNAcentral.
UACCAGCUCUCCGAGUAGUGUGGAUGUUUAUUGGGCCUAAAGCAUCCGUAGCUUGCUAAGCAAGUCCCCUGUUAAAUCCACCGAUUCAAUCGGUGGAUUGCGGGGGAUACUGUUUGGCUAGGGGACGGGAGAGGCCGACGGUAUUUCCGGGGUAGGGGUGAAAUCCUAUAAUCCCGGGAAGACCACCAGUGGCGAAGGCUGUCGGCUAGAACGCGCCCGACGGUGAGGGAUGAAAGCUGGGGGAGCGAACCGGAUUAGAUACCCGGGUAGUCCCAGCUGUAAACGAUGCAGGCUAGGUGUUUGGGCGGCCACGUGCCGCUCUAGUGCCGCAAGGAAGCUGUUAAGCCUGCCGCCUGGGGAGUACGGCCGCAAGGCUGAAACUUAAAGGAAUUGGCGGGGAGCACCACAAGGGGUGAAGCUUGCGGUUU